UCAUGAGCUUUAAGUUGAGGCCAUAAAAAAAAACUCUCUGAAAGCCAAAAGGGGGCAGCAGGUUGUUUCUAUAGACACGGAGCCCUCAAACACUUUUUUUACGGCGUCACAUAAAAAGUGUUUCCUGAAUGAGCGAGUUCUCAAACUGACCACGUCACGAGAGCAGCAGCGCCGUGUCAGGACAAGACUUCAUCACAGCAGUGGCAGGUGUGGAAGAUAAGCUGUGAAAAGCCUGAAGAAACUUCUCAGACAGACAGGAAGCUUUCCUUGGGCUCGCCUCUAACAGGACAAAGACUUUGACAUCACUCCACCUUUUCCUGCUCACAUCCUCCAGGCUUCAACCGGAGCGCGGGCGACAUAAAAGGUACUCCAACAGGCCCUCGAGGGCCUCGAUGUCAGCGCGGGACACGCAGUCGAACAGGAGGGAGCGGUUGAAUAUCUUCAUCACUUUCGGCGGGUCUGAGCUUUGAGCGUCAUCGCAGGACGUCUCGGUUUUA
This is a long non-coding RNA of Acanthopagrus latus (yellowfin seabream), 497 nucleotides long. RefSeq lists it as uncharacterized. Lineage: Eukaryota; Metazoa; Chordata; Actinopteri; Spariformes; Sparidae. The record is from RefSeq and is a predicted model, not a curated record. The transcript is spliced from 3 exons.